Molecule: unclassified non-coding RNA, 929 nt
Filed under: Rhipicephalus microplus (southern cattle tick)
Lineage: Eukaryota; Metazoa; Arthropoda; Arachnida; Ixodida; Ixodidae
Description: uncharacterized LOC119181223, transcript variant X2
Source: RNAcentral
CAUUCCCAGAUCGCCAAAGAACCCCCUCAAAACACGGGCCUCGUCGGUGGCUCCGCAGAAACGAGCGGCGCGCCGAGCCGAGAAGGGGGAGAGGGGAUCUCCUCCGGCGGGCUUGCCUUAAGUGGGGCGCGCUUUCGAAGUCGGCCGCAUCCACAGCAACGGAUUGACUCCGGCACGCACGUUCUAUAGUGGCUUCAACGACACUGUGCUAACUCGAAGCCAUGGCAGGAAUAGACUCCCGCGAAGGACAGAGCUUAUUCAUCAACUACCUCAUCCUGAUCGUGCUCCUGCUCAUCUUAUGGGUCCUGUACGUCGGAAUGUAAAUGCACCACUUGGACUGGCAACCAGUCGCCAUCCGCUGCAAAACCCGACGGCUGCCGAGAUGCUGCACUUCCAACAAGCAACCACGGAGGGGGCCCUCCUGACAAGGGAGCACCGAAAGUCGCACGCUCGCAAAUUCCACUACGAGGGGGCCACACGUGUUGGCCUCGUAUAGUACCAACAACGUUAUCCACAGCAUACAGAGUGAACUAGAAAGAAACAAAGGAAUUGGCACAAGCCCAGAUAAGCCCACAUGUGAACAGUCACCGUGGAAGCAAGCAGCCUGAAUAUCAUGUAUAUAUAAUGAAACCCGCUCCUUGCACCUUAGAAGACUGUCCUGUAGAUAGAACUCAAAGCUACCAUCAAUCAUUCGAUGCAUGCUUCUGCAAUAAUCAUUUAGAGGCCUCUUUGAGGCCCCUUUGUGCUUAGGCGUCAUCAGUGUAUGUGUUGCGUCACAUCUGUCAUGUUGAACAUUGUGUCGAAGCUACUUCGCCAUCCUGCUAUGGUUGUAGAGAUUAAAGGUGAAAUCAAUAGAAAAGUCGAAAUAAAAUUUGUUCUUAAUGAUUAUUGAAUGGUCAAUAAACAGUGCUUGACUCAUUCUUCCCCUC